RNAcentral lists this long non-coding RNA (1686 nucleotides) under Panicum hallii. RNAcentral's name for it is "long non-coding RNA (PHAL_LNC000171)". The record is from RNAcentral. Lineage: Eukaryota; Viridiplantae; Streptophyta; Magnoliopsida; Poales; Poaceae.
AAGUUAUUUGACAUAAUACAACCAUGGUAUAGAGGCAAUACUGUCAAACAAGUUCCUGCAUUUUUCGACAGUCUGCAGCUUGAUAUUCUUACAGCACCUGAUCCAAAGGGUGACCGCCAAACCUGGAUCAGAUAUUCAAAACUUAUGAGAUCAGCACUUGCUCUGAAAGCACCAGCAGUAAGAUCUGGGCUGAUCAUCAACUUCUAUAAAGUGCUCCUCUUGCGACUCGUAGUAAGGCCUUUAGACCUUCAAAAACUUCUAAAGAGGCUCGGAGAUAACUGGCGUUUGUGUGCAAGACAACUUGAGCUAUUCUUGCGAGUCUACAUGUACAAUAGUGACAUUUCAGAGAACUUCAUCUAUGAUAAAUGGGAACAGAAUCAUUGGCAUAUCAUGACAUACUCUCAGCACUUUAUUGAGCAUGCUCUUCUUUGCUUAAAGGUAACUGCCGACUGAUCUCACAUGUCUUCAAUUUCUCAUGUGUCCCCACCUGAGAGAGGAGCCCCUAUCCCACCAACAUUUGCUGACCGUUUCCUCAUGUUUCUAUUAGAGUAAGCUUCACUCUAGAGUACUGUUAAAAAUACAUAUAUCACUAGGAUUUUAACUUUAUUUUGAAUACCCAGGUUUCGAGCCGGUGGAAAUGCUGCUUUUUAUGAAGGUGUCGUAAGAGGAAUUAAAUCUAUUAAUUUGUUCACAUUGCACGUUCCAUUUUAUUCAUUGAAUGGUAUGAUGGAGAACUUGCUAUCGUCCAGGAUGAGUACCCUAGGUUGGUGCAUUGCCCUCUAAGUUGAUAUCAUCCCUUCCAUAUCUAAGGCUGUUUUUAUUAAGAAGUCUUGUCUUUCCAGUGUAUACAAUGAACUGCUGCAUUCUGUUAUUUCCUUCCUUGUGAAACAUGGUAUUGAUAAAAAUGUGGCAACAGAGCAUGCAAAACUUGAAAUAGUGGGUUUGCCAGAACCCAAAAGUUAUCCUUUUGUGAUCUAUCACCUGCUAUCUAAACAGAUAAUGACAAUUUGUAUUUGGAUCAACUAGGAAGCUGAUGAUUUAAUUGCAUUUUUUUUCACAUGCAGCACCCAAAAGUUUGUGCGCAUUGUUGAAGAUAAUGAAAUGGUUCUUCCAUACAAACUGCACAAUAAUAUUUGGGUAAAUGCGACUACACUGGCUGGAAGAGACAUGGGUCUUGGUUAUUUGAACCAUAUGUUUGAUAAGUUUGAUAUUGGUAAAUGUUGGGGCAGAGGAGAAAAUGAAUGGGAUGAAAACAAUAUGGAAGUAAGGAGCAAAGGGUGUCAUCAAAAAAGAAGCUGAUCAAGAAGUAACUCAAAAUUUGGUUGUAUAUAACUUGCUAAAGUUAUUUGACAUAAUACAACCAUGGUAUAGAGGCAAUACUGUCAAACAAGUUCCUGCAUUUUUCGACAGUCUGCAGCUUGAUAUUCUUACAGCACCUGAUCCAAAAGGGUGACCGCCAAACCUGGAUCAGAUAUUCAAAACUUAUGAGAUCAGCACUUGCUCUGAAAGCACCAGCAGUAAGAUCUGGGCUGAUCAUCAACUUCUAUAAAGUGCUCCUCUUGCGACUCGUAGUAAGGCCUUUAGACCUUCAAAAACUUCUAAAGAGGCUCGGAGAUAACUGGCGUUUGUGUGCAAGACAACUUGAGCCAUUCUUGCGAGUCUACAUGUACAAUAGUGACAUUUCAG